CUUUUACUUAGUGUUUAUUUGUUUAUUGGCACACCCUAUACUUUUGCCUAUCUAUACCACAGCUUUAAGGGUUUUUAGAGAGAAUUUCCCUUUUAGGUGUGCUGCCUUCCCUCUGUUAUUUAGCACGGCCCUGUUUUUUCUUUUUUCUUGAUAUGUUUGUGGCCCAGGCAGUCUUUUUUGGCAUUAUUACCAUUAUUACAAUUUCAUCCUUUGUGUUUAGGUGCACCCAUAAAUGUUAUAUAUCAUUUUUAAUGGACAAAUAGGACUUUCUCAAAAAAUAGAUUCAGUAAUCUAAAUGAACUAACCUAGUUCGGACUGUUAAAAUGCCCCAUAAGGAUAGGAUUUUAAUUCAUGUUUAGCAAUUGUAAAACAAAUAUUGCAAGGAGUGAAUUAUGGUUAUAGCUAAAACUUAGCACAAUUUGACAUGCUGAGAUUACACAUUUUAUAGAGAAUCCAAAACCGCUACACGAAAGUAUAUAUUUGUUGAAAGUAUGUCCUCCAGGUUAUGUAACUAAGAACAUUUUGACACAUUUUAUUUUACCAUUUUAUCAUGAACUAUGUUUGUGUGUUUUUUCACGUUUUAUUUUGGGGAAAUUCACAGACCACACCUGUACCAUUACUGCAAAUAACUGAUAUUUGCAUUCUGCUACUGUUCUCAAUUGUGAUACCCCAUAUAUACCUUUUCCUCUAAUCCAACACUUCUGCCAACCUUAACCUAACCCUACUGAAACCACUAUUCCUACUCAUAAUCACUCCAACCUAAAACCCAACUAAUAAUCCUAUCUAUAAUCCAAGGCACAAUACAACCCAAAACCUGCCCCUAAAUCCACCCCUAAUCGCACAUCAGAGGGAUUCCCUCUGCUGAAGUCAAUACUGACAUAAGCAAAGGGAUUUCACAGCCCCCACAGCAUUAUGAGCAUUAUGAACAUUCUUUACUGUGUGAUUUCAGCAUGAGAAGGAGAUCUUCCACUUUGCUGUCAAUGGCCUUUAAAGCUCUGCAUGGCAUGAUGACAUAAGGCAUCACAAGGUCCUUAAGAUGUUAAAAUAAUCUAAUGUUUUUAGGAAUGUUUAUUUUUAUUAGUUGGCUGCAUGGGGUAGAUAUUUUAUAUAGUUUUCUAUCAUUGUCAUUUGCUUAAAUUACUUGUUCAUCUUAACUUAGUUACAAUCUUCACUUUGCUAAAUUUUGUUUCAUUACAAUUUUUUUGUUUUUUUGUUUUCUUUGCAAUGUACUAACAUAUUCAACAGUGUUGUUUUUUUAUGAAGUGCCAAUAAUAUUAAAUAUGAUUAGUUUAUGAUGAUGCAUCCAAAAAUAUGAAUAAGCUAGUGUGUUCAUGCUUAGAAAUCACCGUAUCGUUCCAAAAUACAAGAAUACAGGUAGACAGGGACACAGGAGAUUAUUGCACUAUAACGAGAUCUAUAGGUGGCUAUCAUGCUCAGAAUUUCCCUUGAAGUGACAUGUGAACUCUAUCUAUUGUACUGGAUCCCAGCUAUGGAAUACACUAAAGAUUUUUAGAAUAGAUAAGCUACCUAUAUGCUUAUUAGUGCAUGUUGGAAAUCUUACAUUUACUCUAAUCUCUUAAUUCGGCCUCAAUUUUAUUUUUUGGGGAUAAGCUUAUCAAAC
This 1621-nucleotide long non-coding RNA is filed under the name Pelobates cultripes (western spadefoot toad). The record is from RNAcentral. Lineage: Eukaryota; Metazoa; Chordata; Amphibia; Anura; Pelobatidae.